UACGGAGGGGGCAAGCGUUAUCCGGAUUUACUGGGUGUAAAGGGAGCGUAGACGGCAGCGCAAGUCUGGAGUGAAAUGCCGGGGCCCAACCCCGGAACUGCUUUGGAAACUGUGCAGCUCGAGUGCAGGAGAGGUAAGCGGAAUUCCUAGUGUAGCAGUGAAAUGCGUAGAUAUUAGGAGGAACACCAGUGGCGAAGGCGGCUUACUGGACUGUAACUGACGUUGAGGCUCGAAAGCGUGGGGAGCAAACAGG
RNAcentral lists this ribosomal RNA (253 nucleotides) under uncultured bacterium. Its description in RNAcentral is "partial 16S ribosomal RNA". It matches the Rfam family "Bacterial small subunit ribosomal RNA", at positions 524 to 776 of the family's 1533-position model. The record is from RNAcentral.